This 398-nucleotide ribosomal RNA is filed under the name uncultured bacterium. RNAcentral's name for it is "partial 16S ribosomal RNA". It matches the Rfam family "Bacterial small subunit ribosomal RNA", at positions 360 to 775 of the family's 1533-position model. The record is from RNAcentral.
AAUCUUGCGCAAUGGUCGAAAGCCUGACGCAGCCAUGCCGCGUGAUUGCUUCUGGUCUUAUGAUUGUAAAAUUCUUUCACUGGGGACGAUAAUGACGGUACCCGGCGAAGAAGCCACGGCUAACUUCGUGCCUGCUGCCGCGGUAAUACGAAGGGGGCUAGCGUUGCUCGGAAUUACUGGGCGUAAAGGGCGCGUAUGCGGACAUUUAAGUCAGGGGUGAAAUCCCAGAGCUCAACUCUGGAACUGCCUUUGAUAAUGGGUGUCUUGAGUGUGAGAGAGGUAUGUGGAACUCCGAGUGUAGAGGUGACAUUCGUAGAUAUUCGGAAGAACAACAGUGGCGAAGGCGACAUACUGGCUCAUUACUGACGCUGAGGCGCGAAAGCGUGGGGAGCAAACAG